CCUACGGGUGGCAGCAGUGAGGAAUAUUGGUCAAUGGGCGGGAGCCUGAACCAGCCAAGCCGCGUGAGGGAAGAAGGUCCAAUGUAUUGUAAACCUCUUUUGUCGGGGAGCAAAAGACGCGACUCGUCCCGUGCCGAGAGUACCCGAAGAAAAAGCAUCGGCUAACUCCGUGCCAGCAGCCGCGGUAAUACGGAGGAUGCGAGCGUUAUCCGGAUUUAUUGGGUUUAAAGGGUGCGCAGGCGGACGAUUAAGUCAGCGGUAAAAGCCAGAGGCUCAACCCCGGCGAGCCGUUGAAACUGGUUGGCUGGAGUGAGCGAGAAGUACGCGGAAUGCGCGGUGUAGCGGUGAAAUGCAUAGAUAUCACGCAGAACUCCGAUUGCGAAGGCAGCAUACCGGCGCCAAACUGACGCUCAUGCACGAAAGUGUGGGUAUCGAACAGGAUUAGAUACCCGAGUAGUC
This 459-nucleotide ribosomal RNA is filed under the name uncultured bacterium. Its description in RNAcentral is "partial 16S ribosomal RNA". It matches the Rfam family "Bacterial small subunit ribosomal RNA", at positions 338 to 795 of the family's 1533-position model. The record is from RNAcentral.